GGCUUUGUAGCUCAGCUGGUAGAGCCCUUCCCGCAUGGUGUGUUUGUCGCUGGUUCGAAUCCAGCCGAAGCCC
Molecule: non-coding RNA, 73 nt
Organism: Paragonimus skrjabini miyazakii
Lineage: Eukaryota; Metazoa; Platyhelminthes; Trematoda; Plagiorchiida; Troglotrematidae
Source: the annotation of a GenBank genome assembly